AUGCAAGAAAAAAAGAAAAAAAAAAAAAAAGAAAAAGAAAAAGCUUUUCCUUCUUCAAAUCGUGAAGCACCCCCCUCCCCCUUCUGUUUUCUUUUCCCUUAUUUUUCGUCUGUGGCGUUCAAAGCUGCUCGUGCCCAACUGCACCGCUGCGUUAGCCUUGUCGAUGCUAACCCAAAGCUGCUCACUGUUCAGCACCUAAAGCCGCUCGCAUACGUCGACCCAACCCUCAUUGUCGUUUGUUUGCGUUGCCAACCAGUGCCUGUCGCUUUCAAUCGGAGGACGCCGAGACCAAGCCAGGCGUCGUUCUUCCUCAGUUUUGUCGGUCACGAAAUUCUAUGAUUUGGGUUGGAUUCAAGAUUUUGAGAUUUUGGUUUUAGGACGUUGCCCAGCAUAGUGGAGGUUCGAUUUCGACUGCUUAAUUGAACUGUGGUGGUGGUUUUGGAACAAACAACGUGUUGGGAUUCAACUCAAAGUGUGUGGAACUUGGUGGUUGGUGUGCUUGAAGUGAAUUUUAUGUCUAAACUUGAGGUAAAGGUAGAGAUAGACCGGUGAAUGAUAAGAGGGAUUCGUGAUCCCAACUAUUUUGACAUGUUGUCGCUUCCGCACUUAGGGUUCAUCUGGCUCAUCAAGAUGUACUGCGCCAAUUAGUUGAUUUAAUUGGAAUUACAUCUAUUAUGGAGGUUUUGGUGCGACUUGUUGUUGCUGAUGAUCAUGUCUAUCCAAAUUUUAUGGAUGUGAUGCAAUGGUUGUCGAGAGUGAUAUGCUGGAAAUGAUUGUUGAUAAGCUGAGUCCAUCUAUGCAUGACAAAUUGAAGGAACUAUUGACAUGGAUCUGAUUACCACGGGAGUAUCGACAAGCGAAAGGAUGCGAAAGGAGAGUUUAUCAUCGGCAACUUGCAACAUUAUUAUGGAGAAAAUGCAGCUUGGAGGACCCUACAUGCGCCUGGCCGAGUUGCUAGAGGAGCUGAAGAAGAAGAAUCCUGAUAAUGAAGUCCUUCUCAACAACGUAUAUUACAUCUCUUAAUCUCUCAAACCCUCCCAAAUUUGUAGACAAAUAAAAUUGUGUUGCCCUUACACGAAAGAUUUUGUUGCCCUUGUAAAAUCAUAAUCUUUGUAUUACUUGUAAUUUGUGUUUUCAAGGCCUGAAUUAUUGUACGCCUUUUAAAUUAUAAUUUUAUAGCAGAAUUUGCGGAUUAAA
This is a long non-coding RNA of Benincasa hispida (wax gourd), 1197 nucleotides long. RefSeq lists it as uncharacterized. Lineage: Eukaryota; Viridiplantae; Streptophyta; Magnoliopsida; Cucurbitales; Cucurbitaceae. The record is from RefSeq and is a predicted model, not a curated record.